UCAAAUAAUUACUAUCGCUGUCUCGAUUUUGACGCUCACUAGCAAGACAAAUUUUCUGAGUAAAUUCUUCCAAGUCCUCCUUGACAGAAGGACCAGGAAGUCUGGAACUUUGACUUCAGCUAUAAUCGCACCACCAUCGACACAGAGAACUUCUUUUUGUUGUUCAAGCGAGAGCGUAUGAAACUUUUGUACCUUGAGAACUGAGUUGGACUAGCAAGGUACAUGUUCCCCAUGGAAGCAAUGGUUGUAAUGGAUAUUACUCAACUUGAUGAAUCGAAACUUCAGCAUUUCCAUUAGCCUGCCUGAGCCCGAAUAAUCUCGCUGCUUCCCAGAGAACGACUGUGGACUUGAACGAGGCACCCUUCAAGAUUAAGGAAGAACACCUUGCCAGAGUAAGAGCACUAUGCCGAUCUGUGGAAAUUGGGAAACGAUUCUUUCCUCGUUGUUCAGAAGUACUGAACAAGAUCAUGGAUGGCGAUGACAUGUCACAGCUUACAUACACGGGGGAUGACACAACAGAAGUAAGGCUCUCAAAGAGAAAAAGGUACAUGGAAAUCCAAGAAGUACUAAGUAAGGCUUUUGAGGAAGAUAAAUAGGAAAUUGAUCUUUCUAGAAUGUCAUCAUCCUCAUCUUCUACAUCGAUCAGUAAGAGUAGUGAGGACUAAGCUCACCAUCGAUUAACAUUUGAAACAAACUUGAAAGAAUGGAAGGUGCUGAAACUUAUUGUCAUUCUGUAUGUUCACUCUUGGCUUCUUCUUCAUCUUUUUCAAGAUCAUAAUUCUGUAUUGCAUAGGAUUGUAUGAAGAGUGGUAAUCAAGUUUUCUUGUUAUAUCCUCUCAAUGCAUAGAUGGAUAUACUAGAGGUAUUUCUAUAUGUAUCCAUCAAAUGAGUUUGCAAAUUAAGAUGCAUAAGAAAUAGAAGGAAGAAAAAGAAAUAGUGUAAAGAAAUUGUACUGUUCCAAAAUUCCUCUAGUUUUUCUUUGGUGCUAGUAGAACCAAUUGCCUUCCUAUCUUUUGCAUGUUUCAAUUUGUUAUGUCUGUUGUAGUUGAUGGGUGAAAGAAAAGUUGCAGGACAUGACUGUCAAUAUAUACUCUAAGCUCUCUCAAGUCGUGGAACUAAAGG
Rosa rugosa (rugosa rose) is the source of this 1122-nucleotide long non-coding RNA. RefSeq lists it as uncharacterized. The record is from RefSeq and is a predicted model, not a curated record. NCBI's taxonomy places the organism in Eukaryota, Viridiplantae, Streptophyta, Magnoliopsida, Rosales, Rosaceae. The transcript has 3 exons.